RNAcentral lists this ribosomal RNA (465 nucleotides) under uncultured bacterium. Its description in RNAcentral is "partial 16S ribosomal RNA". It matches the Rfam family "Bacterial small subunit ribosomal RNA", at positions 339 to 795 of the family's 1533-position model. The record is from RNAcentral.
CUACGGGGGGCUGCAGUGAGGAAUUUUGCGCAAUGGGCGAAAGCCUGACGCAGCAACGCCGCGUGAGUGAUGAAGGCUUUCGGGUCGUAAAGCUCUGUCAAGUGGGAAGAACCUAUAUAAUGUUAAUACCAUUAUAUACUGACGGUACCACUGAAGGAAGCACCGGCUAACUCCGUGCCAGCAGCCGCGGUAAUACGGGGGGUGCAAGCGUUAUUCGGAAUCAUUGGGCGUAAAGAGCACGUAGGCGGCCUGGUAAGUCAGAUGUGAAAGCCCGGGGCUUAACCCCGGAAGUGCAUUUGAUACUGCCCGGCUUGAGUAUGGGAGAGGGAAGUGGAAUUCCUGGUGUAGAGGUGAUAUUCGUAGAUAUCAGGAGGAACACCGGUGGCGAAGGCGACUUCCUGGACCAAUACUGACGCUGAGGUGCGAAGGCGUGGGUAGCAAACAGGAUUAGAUACCCUAGUAGUC